This 253-nucleotide ribosomal RNA is filed under the name uncultured bacterium. RNAcentral describes it as "partial 16S ribosomal RNA". It matches the Rfam family "Bacterial small subunit ribosomal RNA", at positions 524 to 776 of the family's 1533-position model. The record is from RNAcentral.
UACGUAGGGUGCAGGCGUUAAUCGGAAUUACUGGGCGUAAAGCGUGCGCAGGCGGUCUGCUAAGAGAGAUGUGGAAUCCCCGGGCUUAACCUGGGAACUGCGUUUCUAACUGGCAGGCUUGAGUGUGGCAGAGGGGGGUGGAAUUCCACGUGUAGCAGUGAAAUGCGUAGAGAUGUGGAGGAACACCGAUGGCGAAGGCAGCCCCCUGGGCUAACACUGACGCUCAUGCACGAAAGCGUGGGGAGCAAACAGG